RNAcentral lists this ribosomal RNA (428 nucleotides) under Spermophora minotaura. RNAcentral's name for it is "partial 16S ribosomal RNA". Lineage: Eukaryota; Metazoa; Arthropoda; Arachnida; Araneae; Pholcidae. The record is from RNAcentral.
UUCUUUAAGAAUUAAUUUAAAGUAUAUCCUGCUCAAUGAAUAUUUAAAUAGCCGCAGUUAAUCUGUGCUAAGGUAGCAUAAUCAUUUGCUUUCUAAAUAAAAGAUAGAAUGAAAGGUUACAUGAUUAAUAACUUUUUUAUGAAAACUAAAUAAUUUAAAAUUAAUGUAAAAAAUCAUUAAUAAUUAAGCAAGACGAUAAGACCCUGCUAAACUUAUUAUUUAGUUGGGGUGACAAUAUAACAAAAUCUUAUAGGAUAAAAUAAUUCAACCUUAAAUAAUCAAGAUUUAAAUCAGUUACUACAGGGAUAACAGCGCAAUAAUUUUUUAGAGCUCAUAUCCAAAAAAAAGAUUACGACCUCGAUGUUGAAUUAAUUAAACUAAAUAAAGCAAAACUUAUUAAAGUAAGUCUGUUCGACUUUUAAAGAAUU